AGCCUUUGCCCUUCCUGGGCGUUUCCUCCCUGUAGACUUUAGGCCGGCGCUGACUAAGCCCGGCCUUUUUUUUGCCUGGA
This 80-nucleotide small RNA is filed under the name Asticcacaulis sp. AC466. RNAcentral describes it as "Makes More Granules Regulator RNA (mmgR)". It matches the Rfam family "Makes More Granules Regulator RNA (mmgR)". From Rfam's summary of the family: SuhB later renamed mmgR (makes more granules regulator) was a putative non-coding RNA found multiple times in the Agrobacterium tumefaciens genome and related alpha-proteobacteria. Other non-coding RNAs uncovered in the same analysis include: speF, ybhL, metA, and serC. Several studies inSinorhizobium meliloti showed that suhB element is indeed a non-coding RNA:firstly it was detected on Northern blot and called Sm8RNA, secondly in an RNAseq study referred to as SmelC689. Lineage: Bacteria; Pseudomonadati; Pseudomonadota; Alphaproteobacteria; Caulobacterales; Caulobacteraceae. The record is from Rfam by way of RNAcentral.